UACGUAGGGCGCAAGCGUUGUCCGGAAUUAUUGGGCGUAAAGAGCUCGUAAGCGGUCUGUCGCGUCGGAUGUGAAAGCCCGGGGCUUAACCCCGGGUCUGCAUUCGAUACGGGCAGACUAGAGUGUGGUAGGGGAGAUCGGAAUUCCUGGUGUAGCGGUGAAAUGCGCAGAUAUCAGGAGGAACACCGGUGGCGAAGGCGGUUCUCUGGGCAUGUCCUGACGCUGAGGAGCGAAAGUGUGGGGAGCGAACAGG
This 253-nucleotide ribosomal RNA is filed under the name uncultured bacterium. RNAcentral's name for it is "partial 16S ribosomal RNA". It matches the Rfam family "Bacterial small subunit ribosomal RNA", at positions 524 to 776 of the family's 1533-position model. The record is from RNAcentral.